GGUCCCUUCGUCUAACGGUUAGGACAGUGGAUUCUCAUUCCACCAAUAGGGGUUCGAUUCCCCUAGGGACUG
Molecule: transfer RNA, 72 nt
Filed under: Spirochaetaceae bacterium
Lineage: Bacteria; Pseudomonadati; Spirochaetota; Spirochaetia; Spirochaetales; Spirochaetaceae
Description: tRNA-Glu
Rfam family: tRNA
About the family: Transfer RNA (tRNA) molecules are approximately 80 nucleotides in length. Their secondary structure includes four short double-helical elements and three loops (D, anti-codon, and T loops).
Source: RNAcentral